Molecule: long non-coding RNA, 2819 nt
Organism: Acinonyx jubatus (cheetah)
Lineage: Eukaryota; Metazoa; Chordata; Mammalia; Carnivora; Felidae
Exons: 3
Source: RefSeq, a predicted model, not a curated record
CGUGGUGGAGAUCGUGAUAGGCUAAGCAGCAAGCAGGUGUGACAGCAAGACCUGGAAGCGGAUCAGUAAUGAGCCAAGAUUUCAAAAAAUGUUUAGUAUGUUGGCCACAUAAAUAAAUUCAAAAUUCCACCAAAAAAGGAGGGCAUAGCUUUCCUCUUCCUUGGAAUUUUGUAUCCUGUUCUGGGGAAAAUGGCAAGCUGAAAUUAAUCCACAGGAGAGCUAUCAUGAUCGUGGGGUGUGAGAACCACGAAAGAUGUCUGAACACCUGCAACCGAUGAAAACCCAAAACUAAGAUUCGGAGAGACCUGUAAGCAGUGGUCACAUAUUUGAAGUGCUGACCUGGAAAGAAAGGAUUACACUUUUUAUUGCAUGCAAUUCUGGAGGGCAGAGAAAGGACCAAUGCGUAUAAAUUACAAAGAGACCCCUGAGAACUCCAUAUCGUGGUGUUCAGUGAUUGUGUAAAGUCCAAUCACCAAACUCUUCCAGGAGAGAAUGUGACUCAGUGCUAUCCCAGUAUGUAAUGAAGCUUCACGAAACUGGGUCAAGAGCAUUUAAAGUAAGUGUCAAGGAUCAUAUUUACAGGCUCAGAAGAAUCACAAAGACCAUGUGCAACAUACCUAUAGUUGGAUCAAAAUAGAAGAGUAAUGGCUUGUGAGGAAGUAAGUCACUUCUUGUGGAGGUUAUCCUAAUGCAAGGAAUAAAAAAGAAAGCAAUCGAUCUGGGAUCUGGCCUUUGGUUUUCUGAUUUAGGGUUCAGGGGUAGAAGUAAGAAAACCUGCAUUCUGUUCCUGUACUUGGUACUCACUUCCCCAGGGUCUUUUAGGGAUACAAAUAAUGAAACAGCAGGAGAUUGUAAGCAAGAAGACACAAACUUCCUUCUAAAACAUUGGACAAGAUUGGGAUGUUCUACAAACUAACAGAGAGUGAAAUUCAGGAAACAUGAUAUUGGCAAACAAAAAUCUUUAUGCAAACUCAAUAUCAAAAAAUCUAGCUACCUAUAAUUUGCCUCAAAAAUGCCUGAAGUGAAAUGUAGGAACUAUAAACAAGACUGAUGAAAAAUAAAUUGUAGAAUUUGCAGGUGCUGGUCUAGGUGCAAUCAGACCUCAAACACAUUCAGAUUUAAUAUCAAAUUUCUUGAUGCAAAAUAUUCCCCAAGGGAAGAUGAGAAAACCUUAGUAUAUUAAAAUAAAAAAUAUUGUCUUUAUUAUAAGGGCAAAUGAUACUUGCACAUAUAGAAUCUUAUUGGAAGUUAUUAUUUUCCCCAAAUAUCAGGGUUUCUAACGCCUGUCUCAGGGUAAUGAUUUUGCUCUCAUUUCUAAAGUUUACCAAACACAUUACAAAUUAUCUUGAAUGGGCUGUAGUGUGGGAAGAUGAAGGCAAGAUACUAUUAUUUUUUUCAGGUAUUGACCAAGAAAUAGACAAAGAUAUGUUGAGUGAUAUUUUCAAGAUCAUAUGUUAGACUUUUACUUCUAGCUAAGAUAAAGUAGUUUGCACUAGACCAAUUAUUCUGGGAAGAACAAAUAGAAAACUCAGAUAAAAUGUAAAGAAAAACAGCAAUAACAACAGCUGUCUGACUGAAGGCAUUGGAAAAUGACUGAAGCAACCAGGAAUUGAAGGGCCAAGAUCAAGCAGAGUCAAGAAAAGGGAACCACAGAGAGCUGAGAUGAUGUUCUUCAAACAGCUUUUCCCCUCAAGGCAAUUGCUAGUUUUUGGCUUGGAAUUAGAGGCUAACAAUCUACCCAGAGAGCUGUGGCUGAUAAGCAGAGAAACAAAGUUUCUGGAAAUCUCACAAGGGUGCAGACAAAAAAGGGGGAAAAAAAUUGAGAGCAAAGGGGAGAUUGGGAGAUUGAUUGGCCAAAGUAUCCAAAACUUGAAGUAACAGAAUCCUGAAGAGAAGGAAAGCAUGGAGAAGCACAUUAGAUACCUCAUUUGCUCCCAUAUUUAGCAUAUGCUAAAUCCUUAAACUGCUAAGGACAAGAAGCGAGGCAGGAAAUCACAGAAAAUCAGAGGAGUUUUGGCCUACUCACAGAGUUGAAGAGACAAAAAUAGGAGAAUACAACCUGACAAGGAGAAGCCCAAGUCAAUACUCUAUGCUCAGGAGAGACUCCUGGGAGCCAUACCACGGUUGAGGAGCUAACCAGAAGUAUAUGUAACUUUCCAGACUUCAACGCAGCCUCAAAUGUGUUCAGUUGCUAACUGAAUCAAAGUGAUCAACUUCUUCCCUGAAUACAUAUGAAAAGAGAGGGUAAGCCCCCUCAAAGGAAGAGAGUGCCUCCACAGUCUUUCAUAUAGAAUAUAUAGCAUUCAAUCAAAAAUUAUGGUCCUAUCAAGAAAAAGAACCAAGAGGAAAAAAACAGGUAAUAUAAACAGACCCACAAAUACUACUGUUAUUAAAGUUAUUAUACUUGAACGUUUAAGGAUAUGAUUAAUGUGACAAAUUAAGAAAAUAUAACUCAAAUAUAGUCCAACAUGAAUAUAUUAUUGAUAAAACAUAAGUUAAAGAUGGAAAAUUUUUACUUCUCUGGUUUUCUACUGGUAUUUUAGAAAGAAUUAAAUGAAAAUUAUGGAGUAGAAAAAUAAAAUACUUGAAAUUAAAUACCCAACACAUAAACUGCAAUUUAACAGCAGUUGGGACUCAGCAGCUAUGUGGAUUGGUGAAGGAAAAUAGGGAAGUAGAAAAUCAACUUCCAUCUUUCUGUAUGGAAAAUACAGAAAGAAAUAUGUGAUAGAUAAUCUUAUGGGUAAAAAUGGCCAGGCCAUCCCGCCCAGAUAUUUGAUCAAGCAUUAUUCUGGAUGUUUAUAAGAGGGUGGUUUUUUGUA